CAGCCGCUACGGUAAUACGUAGGGUGCAAGCGUUAAUCGGAAUUACUGGGCGUAAAGCGUGCGCAGGCGGUUAUAUAAGACAGAUGUGAAAUCCCCGGGCUCAACCUGGGAACUGCAUUUGUGACUGUAUAGCUAGAGUACGGCAGAGGGGGAUGGAAUUCCGCGUGUAGCAGUGAAAUGCGUAGAUAUGCGGAGGAACACCGAUGGCGAAGGCAAUCCCCUGGGCCUGUACUGACGCUCAUGCACGAAAGCGUGGGGAGCAAACAGGAUUAGAUACCCCAGUAGUCCCUGUCUCUUAUAC
This 301-nucleotide ribosomal RNA is filed under the name uncultured bacterium. RNAcentral describes it as "partial 16S ribosomal RNA". It matches the Rfam family "Bacterial small subunit ribosomal RNA", at positions 509 to 807 of the family's 1533-position model. The record is from RNAcentral.